AAUCAUAGCUGCUCUGCUUUGACCGCCUCUCCGAGCUCUCCUCUGCCAUUGACGAGUUCUCAAGUGGGUAUCAACAAGACUGCGCGCGUGCCGGAGAACGAGGACGACUGAAAUCACAUAGAGGAAACUCGAAUACAAUAGUGGCUCUUGCUGGGAACAAGGCUGAUGUGUUAGAUACGAGGCAGGUGUCAGCAGAUAAGUUUGAACUUGAUUUGUGUUGCUGAGUGGUGCUUGCUGGACAUUGCUGGAUUUUUAGAUCCUAUAAGAACAAUGGCAUUAGGUAGACGUACUCAAAAUAGGACGGUGGCAGGCCUGUCUCCCUUUCCUCCUUUCGUGCUAUUUGACGAUAUUCAAGAUGUCAAUAACUUACCACAAGUCAAAAGUGUCUUUGCGAGAGUAGUUGUUAAGUUCCCUAGGCGUCGUAAUAGUCAACACUACAUCCUACAGGACAUCACUGGAUCCAAAAUCGAAGCAAUUUCUAACGGCAAUAAUGUCCAACGGUUCGAUGCCUUACUCACACAAGGAUGCACAUAUACAUUGUAUAGAGUGGCAUUUUGUCUAAACCGGGAGGAACUUCAAUUUCGCAAUAUUGGUCAUGGGCUAGAGUUGGGAUUGAUAACACAUACUAUUGUGGAUCCAUUCACGAAGCCAAUCCAAUUUCCUCCAUUUCCAAAGUAUCUUAUGCCAUUUCAUGAGGUUUACCAACAACCGCAUAAGACAUUCGUAGAUGUUAUUGGCAUAGUUCUUCAUUUGGAACCAUUAAAGCAUAUCGGUGGAAGACCGUAUAGAGAAGCUGUACUAAUGGAUUCUAGGUGGGAUCUAAUCAUCGUGGGGGUAUGGACUGACCUCUUGCAAAGAAAUGCUCUACGAUGGUCGUUAGCUAGAGUUGACAAGAACAUAAUUAUUGGAACUUUGCUGCGUUGUAACCAUAAGCACAGUAAUUUCUUCUGUGCCUAACAUCUUUCAAUAUAUACUUAAUUCUUACUCUUAUUAAUAAUUAUAUACUAUUAUUUUAUAACAAUAGGGUGCUUGGAAACCUCGGACCACAGCACUAUUCAUUUCAACCCGGAUCAUCACACUAAAUACCGCUUGAAGACAAUUCGUCGUUCGUUGAUUGACAAUCCAAGGAGUCGUUUCAUCGACAAAUUUCUAGAGAACAGACGAGCACAUUUGGCGACUGUAACAUCGGAUUGAGACAUGUGUUCUAGCUUGUUAUAGUAGAAUACUUUGUUAGUCAUGUAUCAGAUGAAACUUAUUAAUAAUGAUUUGUGUUCUGUUUUUA
Molecule: long non-coding RNA, 1282 nt
Organism: Zea mays
Lineage: Eukaryota; Viridiplantae; Streptophyta; Magnoliopsida; Poales; Poaceae
Exons: 10
Source: RefSeq, a predicted model, not a curated record